Molecule: long non-coding RNA, 257 nt
Organism: Colias croceus (clouded yellow)
Lineage: Eukaryota; Metazoa; Arthropoda; Insecta; Lepidoptera; Pieridae
Exons: 2
Source: RefSeq, a predicted model, not a curated record
GGAAAAUGGGUAAAAUUUGUCCAAAACAACCGCAGUGAAGAAACCGUUACCAUCCGAUAGAACUUGCGUCUGUUCAUUGCAUUUUCGCGAUGAGGAUAAAUAUACCACAAAAGCGGGAAGGCGUUUUCUAAAGAAGUCUGCUGUUCCUUGUAUUGAUCCGAAGGUGUGCUACAAUAGUACUGGAACAAUACAAGUAAUUUCUGAGCCGGGAACAUGUUCUGAGGAUGAUGAACUAAAUAAACACAAUUUUUACACGG